Molecule: ribosomal RNA, 501 nt
Filed under: uncultured bacterium
Lineage: Bacteria
Description: partial 16S ribosomal RNA
Rfam family: Bacterial small subunit ribosomal RNA
Source: RNAcentral
AUUGAACGCUGGCGGCAGGCUUAACACAUGCAAGUCGAGCGGAGCGAAGGUGCUUGCACCUUAGCUUAGCGGCGGACGGGUGAGUAAUGCUUAGGAAUCUGCCUAUUAGUGGGGGACAACGUUUCGAAAGGAACGCUAAUACCGCAUACGUCCUACGGGAGAAAGCAGGGGAUCUUCGGACCUUGUGCUAAUAGAUGAGCCUAAGUCGGAUUAGCUAGUUGGUGGGGUAAAGGCCUACCAAGGCGACGAUCUGUAGCGGGUCUGAGAGGAUGAUCCGCCACACUGGGACUGAGACACGGCCCAGACUCCUACGGGAGGCAGCAGUGGGGAAUAUUGGACAAUGGGCGAAAGCCUGAUCCAGCCAUGCCGCGUGUGUGAAGAAGGCCUUUUGGUUGUAAAGCACUUUAAGCGAGGAGGAGGAGCUUCAGGUUAAUACCCUGGAUGCUUGGACGUUACUCGCAGAAUAAGCACCGGCUAACUCUGUGCCAGCCGCCGCCGUAA